CGGACGGGUGGGUAACACGUGGAUAACCUACCUAUAAGACUGGGAUAACUUCGGGAAACCGGAGCUAAUACCGGAUAAUAUUUUGAACCGCAUGGUUCAAAAGUGAAAGACGGUCUUGCUGUCACUUAUAGAUGGAUCCGCGCUGCAUUAGCUAGUUGGUAAGGUAACGGCUUACCAAGGCAACGAUGCAUAGCCGACCUGAGAGGGUGAUCGGCCACACUGGAACUGAGACACGGUCCAGACUCCUACGGGAGGGCAGCAGCG
RNAcentral lists this ribosomal RNA (264 nucleotides) under uncultured Staphylococcus sp. RNAcentral's name for it is "partial 16S ribosomal RNA". It matches the Rfam family "Bacterial small subunit ribosomal RNA", at positions 99 to 356 of the family's 1533-position model. The record is from RNAcentral. Lineage: Bacteria; Bacillati; Bacillota; Bacilli; Caryophanales; Staphylococcaceae.